This 466-nucleotide ribosomal RNA is filed under the name uncultured Thauera sp. RNAcentral's name for it is "bacterial SSU rRNA". It matches the Rfam family "Bacterial small subunit ribosomal RNA", at positions 916 to 1381 of the family's 1533-position model. Lineage: Bacteria; Pseudomonadati; Pseudomonadota; Betaproteobacteria; Rhodocyclales; Zoogloeaceae. The record is from RNAcentral.
ACGGGGCCUGCACAAGCGGUGGAGCAUGUGGUUUAAUUCGAAGCGACGCGCAGAACCUUACCAGCCUUUGACAUCCUAGGACGACUUCUGGAGACAGAUUUCUCCUUCGGGACCUAGUGACAGGUGCUGCAUGGCUGUCGUCAGCUCGUGUCGUGAGAUGUUGGGUUAAGUCCCGCAACGAGCGCAACCCUUGUCAUUAGUUGCCAUCAUUUAGUUGGGCACUCUAAUGAGACUGCCGGUGACAAACCGGAGGAAGGUGGGGAUGACGUCAAGUCCUCAUGGCCCUUAUGGGUAGGGCUUCACACGUCAUACAAUGGUCGGUACAGAGGGUUGCCAAGCCGCGAGGUGGAGCCAAUCCCUUAAAGCCGAUCGUAGUCCGGAUCGUAGUCUGCAACUCGACUACGUGAAGUCGGAAUCGCUAGUAAUCGCAGAUCAGCAUGCUGCGGUGUAUACGUUCCCGGGUCUU